This 504-nucleotide ribosomal RNA is filed under the name uncultured bacterium. RNAcentral describes it as "partial 16S ribosomal RNA". It matches the Rfam family "Bacterial small subunit ribosomal RNA", at positions 30 to 523 of the family's 1533-position model. The record is from RNAcentral.
AUUGAACGCUGGCGGCAGGCCUAACACAUGCAAGUCGAACGGUAGCACAGAGAGCUUGCUCUCGGGUGACGAGUGGCGGACGGGUGAGUAAUGUCUGGGAAACUGCCUGAUGGAGGGGGAUAACUACUGGAAACGGUAGCUAAUACCGCAUAAUGUCGCAAGACCAAAGAGGGGGACCUUCGGGCCUCUUGCCAUCGGAUGUGCCCAGAUGGGAUUAGCUUGUUGGUGAGGUAAAGGCUCACCAAGGCGACGAUCCCUAGCUGGUCUGAGAGGAUGACCAGCCAAACUGGACAUGAGACACGGUCCAGACUCCUACGGGAGGCAGCAGUGGGGAAUAUUGCACAAUGGGCGCAAGCCUGAUGCAGCCAUGCCGCGUGUGUGAAGAAGGCCUUCGGGUUGUAAAGCACUUUCAGCGGGGAGGAAGGCGGUGAGUUUAAUAAGCUCACCGAUUGACGUUACCCGCAGAAGAAGCACCGGCUAACUCCGUGCCAGCCGCCGCCGUAA